AACGAACGCUGGCGGCAGGCUUAACACAUGCAAGUCGAACGAGAUCUUCGGAUCUAGUGGCAGACGGGUGAGGAACACGUGGGAACAUCCCUUUCAGUUCGGAAUAACGUUGGGAAACUAACGCUAAUACCGGAUACGUCCUUCGGGAGAAAGAUUUAUCGCUGAAAGAUUGGCCCGCGUCUGAUUAGCUAGUUGGUGAGGUAAUGGCUCACCAAGGCUACGAUCAGUAGCUGAUCUGAGAGGAUGAUCAGCCACAUUGGGACUGAGACACGGCCCAAACUCCUACGGGAGGCAGCACUGGGGAAUAUUGGACAAUGGGCGCAAGCCUGAUCCAGCCAUGCCGCGUGAGUGAUGACGGCCUUCGGGUUGUAAAGCUCUUUUGUCCGGGAAGAUAAUGACUGUGCCGGAAGAAUAAGCCCCGGCAAACUUCGUGCCAGCAGCCGCCGUAA
This 449-nucleotide ribosomal RNA is filed under the name uncultured bacterium. RNAcentral's name for it is "partial 16S ribosomal RNA". It matches the Rfam family "Bacterial small subunit ribosomal RNA", at positions 29 to 523 of the family's 1533-position model. The record is from RNAcentral.